Lolium rigidum is the source of this 186-nucleotide long non-coding RNA. RefSeq lists it as uncharacterized. The transcript is spliced from 3 exons. The record is from RefSeq and is a predicted model, not a curated record. Lineage: Eukaryota; Viridiplantae; Streptophyta; Magnoliopsida; Poales; Poaceae.
CUUCAAAGGAGGCGUGAAUAUCCCGUGCCAUCCACGUCUUGUUUCAGUUUUUGCCAAGUUCGUCGGACUGGACAUGAUGCUGCGUCGUUUAGUCGCUGGAGUCCGCACGGCCACCGCCGAUUUGAGGUUGAAUUUCAACGAAAACCCUUUGUGUGAAGAGCGACGUGUUUUGUUGAGAGAAGUGAC